This 274-nucleotide ribosomal RNA is filed under the name uncultured bacterium. RNAcentral describes it as "partial 16S ribosomal RNA". It matches the Rfam family "Archaeal small subunit ribosomal RNA", at positions 473 to 747 of the family's 1478-position model. The record is from RNAcentral.
AAACCAGCACCUCAAGUGGUCAGGAUGAUUAUUGGGCCUAAAGCAUCCGUAGCCUGCUCUGUAAGUUUUCGGUUAAAUCUGUACGCUCAACGUACAGGCUGUCGGGAAUACUGCAGAACUAGGGAGUGGGAGAGGUAGACGGUACUCGGGAGGAAGUGGUAAAAUGCUUUGAUCUCUCGAUGACCACCUGUGGCGAAGGCGGUCUACCAGAACACGUCCGACGGUGAGGGAUGAAAGCUGGGGGAGCAAACCGGAUUAGAAACCCCAGUAGUCC